RNAcentral lists this ribosomal RNA (477 nucleotides) under uncultured bacterium. Its description in RNAcentral is "bacterial SSU rRNA". It matches the Rfam family "Bacterial small subunit ribosomal RNA", at positions 29 to 506 of the family's 1533-position model. The record is from RNAcentral.
AUAAACGUUGGCGGCGUGCCUAACACAUGCAAGUCGAGCGAGAAAAUCCUUCGGGAUGAGUACAGCGGCAGACGGGUGAGUAACGCGUGAGAAUCUACCCUUCAGUGAAGAAUACCUUCGAGAAAUCGAAGUUAAUACUGCAUACGUCCCUUCGGGGAGAAAGAUGGCCUCUUUGCUGUCGCUGAUGGAUGAGCUUGCGUACUAUUAGCUAGUUGGCGGGGUAAAGGCCCACCAAGGCUUUGAUGGUUAGCCGGCCUGAGAGGGUGAACGGCCACACUGGAACUUAGACACGGUCCAGACUCCUACGGGAGGCAGCAGUGAGGAAUCUUGCGCAAUGGGCGAAAGCCUGACGCAGCGACGCCGCGUGGAGGAUGAAGGUCUUCGGAUUGUAAACUUCUGUUGAGUGGGACGAAAGACUCACUUCUAAUACAAGUGAGGGAUGACAGUACCACUAAAGAAAGCACCGGCUAAACUCGU